AUGACGAGUCACUACGGUGAUGAAGUAACCGAUGCUACGCUUCCAGGAAAAGCCUCUAAGCUCCAGGUAACAUCAAAUCGUACCCCAAACCGACACAGGUGGUCAGGUAGAGAAUACUCAGGCGCUUGAGAGAACUCGGGUGAAGGAACUAGGCAAAAUGGUGCCGUAACUUCGGGAGAAGGCACGCUGAUGGUAGGUGAAGUGACUUGCUCAUGGAGCUGAAAUCAGUCGAAGAUACCAGCUGGCUGCAACUGUUUAAUAAAAACACAGCACUGUGCAAACACGAAAGUGGACGUAUACGGUGUGACGCCUGCCCGGUGCCGGAAGGUUAAUUGAUGGGGUCAGCCGCAAGGCGAAGCUCUUGAUCGAAGCCCCGGUAAACGGCGGCCGUAACUAUAACGGUCCUAAGGUAGCGAAAUUCCUUGUCGGGUAAGUUCCGACCUGCACGAAUGGCGUAAUGAUGGCCAGGCUGUCUCCACCCGAGACUCAGUGAAAUUGAACUCGCUGUGAAGAUGCAGUGUACCCGCGGCAAGACGGAAAGACCCCGUGAACCUUUACUAUAGCUUGACACUGAACCUUGAGCCUUGAUGUGUAGGAUAGGUGGGAGGCUUUGAAGCGUGGACGCCAGUCUGCGUGGAGCCAACCUUGAAAUACCACCCUUUAAUGUUUGAUGUUCUAACGUGGACCCGUAAUCCGGGUUGCGGACAGUGUCUGGUGGGUAGUUUGACUGGGGCGGUCUCCUCCCAAAGCGUAACGGAGGAGCACGAAGGUUAGCUAAUCCUGGUCGGACAUCAGGAGGUUAGUGCAAAGGCAUAAGCUAGCUUGACUGCGAGAGUGACAGCUCGAGCAGGUGCGAAAGCAGGUCUUAGUGAUCCGGUGGUUCUGAAUGGAAGGGCCAUCGCUCAACGGAUAAAAGGUACUCCGGGGAUAACAGGCUGAUACCGCCCAAGAGUUCAUAUCGACGGCGGUGUUUGGCACCUCGAUGUCGGCUCAUCACAUCCUGGGGCUGAAGUAGGUCCCAAGGGUAUGGCUGUUCGCCAUUUAAAGUGGUACGCGAGCUGGGUUUAGAACGUCGUGAGACAGUUCGGUCCCUAUCUGCCGUGGGCGUUGGAAGAUUGAGAGGGGUUGCUCCUAGUACGAGAGGACCGGAGUGAACGCACCACUGGUGUACGGGUUGUGAUGCCAAUUGCAUUGCCCGGUAGCUAAGUGCGGAAGAGAUAACCGCUGAAAGCAUCUAAGCGGGAAACUUGCCUCGAGAUGAGUCUUCCCUGG
This 1272-nucleotide ribosomal RNA is filed under the name Pectobacterium brasiliense. RNAcentral's name for it is "bacterial LSU rRNA". It matches the Rfam family "Bacterial large subunit ribosomal RNA", at positions 1566 to 2818 of the family's 2925-position model. Lineage: Bacteria; Pseudomonadati; Pseudomonadota; Gammaproteobacteria; Enterobacterales; Pectobacteriaceae. The record is from RNAcentral.